This is a small RNA of Pseudomonas aeruginosa PAO1, 71 nucleotides long. It matches the Rfam family "Pseudomonas sRNA P5". The record is from Rfam. Lineage: Bacteria; Pseudomonadati; Pseudomonadota; Gammaproteobacteria; Pseudomonadales; Pseudomonadaceae.
GGUCUGCUCUUCUUCUUCCCGGGCACACCAGCCGCAGCGAAAUUCGCGGCCGAGCUGUCUGUGCCGCUCGU